Molecule: ribosomal RNA, 396 nt
Filed under: uncultured bacterium
Lineage: Bacteria
Description: partial 16S ribosomal RNA
Rfam family: Bacterial small subunit ribosomal RNA
Source: RNAcentral
AUACAGCGGGUGCAAGCGUUAAUCGGAUUUACUGGGCGUAAAGCGCGCGUAGGUGGCUAAUUAAGUCAAAUGUGAAAUCCCCGAGCUUAACUUGGGAAUUGCAUUCGAUACUGGUUAGCUAGAGUAUGGGAGAGGAUGGUAGAAUUCCAGGUGUAGCGGUGAAAUGCGUAGAGAUCUGGAGGAAUACCAAUGGCGAAGGCAGCCAUCUGGCCUAAUACUGACACUGAGGUGCGAAAGCAUGGGGAGCAAACAGGAUUAGAUACCCUGGUAGUCCAUGCCGUAAACGAUGUCUACUAGCCGUUGGGGCCCUUGAGGCUUUAGUGGCGCAGCUAACGCGAUAAGUAGACCGCCUGGGGAGUACGGUCGCAAGACUAAAACUCAAAUGAAUUGACGGGG